Long non-coding RNA from Lates calcarifer (barramundi perch), 404 nucleotides. RefSeq lists it as uncharacterized. The record is from RefSeq and is a predicted model, not a curated record. Lineage: Eukaryota; Metazoa; Chordata; Actinopteri; Centropomidae. The transcript is spliced from 3 exons.
GGCAGCGUCGGGCAGGUAAGAGGGCAACACCAUUCGAGCGCGAGCCCCUAAGCCCCAUAUUUCCUGAGCCGGAGGAGGUGCCGCUUCUGUUGGCACUACCUCCAUCAUCCUGUGACAGACUUUUCCAGGCCUCUCCCCCAAGGGAACAGCGUGCAGGGAAAAGCACCAACCAGCCUGUCAUAACCCUGACCAGGAUAAGAAAGUGCAGAAAGUGGCAGCAUGGAUGAGCCGACAUCAUCUGGUGUCCGUGAAUUCAGAGGGAAGGAGGCGGAGUUCAUCUGGUGUAAUAAAAGUAAGCUUGGAGGAAAAUGUGACAGAUGUGGAGGCCUGUGCCAGCGAGAAAAGCGAGAGUAGGACUGUCAGACAUGUCGACUCCGGCGUAGUGAUGGAUGGAGAGUGAGGUA